Non-coding RNA from Camellia sinensis, 814 nucleotides. NCBI's taxonomy places the organism in Eukaryota, Viridiplantae, Streptophyta, Magnoliopsida, Ericales, Theaceae. The record is from RefSeq and is a predicted model, not a curated record.
AUGAGAUUUAAUGGCGUUUUUUUAACGGUGUUUUUUUAAACGUCACUUUUUUUAAUUUUUAACGACGUUUUAUAACCGCCACAUAUUUUUUAAUCAAAACGGCACCGUUUUAUAAUUGAAGGCGUUUAAAACCGCCUCCAAAUGCGGUGGGUACACGCGCUUCUUCCGUGCUCAUUUUGAAACCCUUAUUUUGAUUCUGUGCGAGAGAAACUCUGAAUGUUACAACUCUCUCUCUCUCUCUCUCUCUCUCAACCCUCUCGAAGCUCGAUGAAGCUCCAUCUACACCCGCGAUUUCGAAGCUUCAGAGCGAUUUCGAAGCUCCAUCGCCCCACCAUCUGCUCUCUUUCUCUCUCGAUUUAGAUCUACUAAGCUCCAUUUUUCCAAAUUUCGAGAGACUCAGAGAUUCAGUGAUUUCAGCGCGAUUUCAAUUUCGAAGCUCCAUCGCCACCACCAUCUGCACCUGCGAUUUUCAUUUCACUAAGAAGCUCAGAUCUGAACUCUGACCCCUCGAUUACUCGCAUUUCAAGCCCCAAUGGCCGCGAAUAGUCUACUUUGGUUCUGAACUUUAAUCGUUGCCUGUGAAUUGGAAUUGGUUGAAACCAUCAUUGUGGGAUGGGAUUCUUCAUGCUAAUGUUUGAACUAUAUGUAUGAGUAUGAUUACUUAUGGUUGCAUUGUAGGAACCAUGCAAAUGGCAGUCGGAGUUACAUUUGGUAUGUGUCUGAACUUUUUUUUUUUGUCAAUAUCGUGUUUGUUCCAUAACAUUGCCCUCAUUAGUUUGUUACAGUUAAUUACUUAUAAUUACUUUUGAGUAAU